Molecule: ribosomal RNA, 468 nt
Filed under: uncultured bacterium
Lineage: Bacteria
Description: partial 16S ribosomal RNA
Rfam family: Bacterial small subunit ribosomal RNA
Source: RNAcentral
GACGAACGCUGGCGGCGUGCUUAACACAUGCAAGUCGAACGGAAAGGCCCUGCUUUUGUGGGGUGCUCGAGUGGCGAACGGGUGAGUAACACGUGAGUAACCUGCCCUUGACUUUGGGAUAACUUCAGGAAACUGGGGCUAAUACCGGAUAGGAGCUCCUGCUGCAUGGUGGGGGUUGGAAAGUUUCGGCGGUUGGGGAGGGACUCGCGGCUUAUCAGCUUGUUGGUGGGGUAGUGGCUUACCAAGGCUUUGACGGGUAGCCGGCCUGAGAGGUUGACCGGCCACAUUGGGACUGAGAUACGGACCAGACUCCUACGGGAGGCAGCAGUGGGGAAUAUUGCACAAUGGGCGGAAGCCUGAUGCAGCAACGCCGCGUGCGGGAUGACGGCCUUCGGGUUGUAAACCGCUUUCGCCUGUGACGAAGCGUGAGUGACGGUAAUGGGUAAAGAAGCACCGGCUAACUACGUG